This 428-nucleotide ribosomal RNA is filed under the name uncultured bacterium. RNAcentral describes it as "bacterial SSU rRNA". It matches the Rfam family "Bacterial small subunit ribosomal RNA", at positions 355 to 775 of the family's 1533-position model. The record is from RNAcentral.
UAGGGAAUAUUGGACAAUGGGGGCAACCCUGAUCCAGCCAUGCCGCGUGAGUGAAGAAGGCCCUCGGGUUGUAAAGCUCUUUUGUCCGGAAAGAAAAGCAUUCGGUGAAUACCCGGAUGUUCUGACGGUACCGGAAGAAUAAGCACCGGCUAACUUCGUGCCAGCAGCCGCGGUAAUACGAAGGGUGCAAGCGUUACUCGGAAUUACUGGGCGUAAAGCGUGCGUAGGUGGUUGUUUAAGUCUGAUGUGAAAGCCCUGGGCUCAACCUGGGAAUGGCAUUGGAAACUGGGCAGCUAGGGUGCGGUAGAGGGUAGUGGAAUUCCCGGUGUAACAGUGAAAUGCGUAGAGAUCGGGAGGAACAUCUGUGGCGAAGGCGACUGCCUGGACCAGCACUGACACUGAGGCACGAAAGCGUGGGGAGCAAACAG